GCUAGAGUGCAGGAGAGGGAAGCGGAAUUCCUAGUGUAGCGGUGAAAUGCGUAGAUAUUAGGAGGAACACCAGUGGCGAAGGCGGCUUUCUGGACUGUAACUGACACUGAGGCACGAAAGCGUGGGGAGCAAACAGGAUUAGAUAUCCUGGUAGUCCACGCUGUAAACGAUGAAUACUAGGUGUAGGGGGUAUGAACUCCCCCUGUGCCGGAGCUAACGCAAUAAGUAUUCCGCCUGGGGAGUACGGCCGCAAGGUUGAAACUCAAAGGAAUCGACGGGGGCCCGCACAAGCAGCGGAGCAUGUGGUUUAAUUCGAAGCAACGUGAAGAACCUUACCAAGGCUUGACAUCUGCCUAAACUCAUGGAAACAUGAGGUCCCUUCGGGGGAGGCAAGACAGGUGGUGCAUGGUUGUCGUCAGCUCGUGUCGUGAGAUGUUGGGUUAAGUCCAGCAACGAGCGCAACCCCUAUUGCCAGUUACCAGCACGUAAAGGUGGGAAUUUUGGUGAGACUGCCGGGGACAACUCGGAGGAAGGUGGGGACGACGUCAAAUCAUCAUGCCCCUUAUGUCUUGGGCUACACACGUGCUACAAUGGCUGUAACAAAGGGAAGCGAAAGCGUAAGCUGGAGCGGAUCUCAUAAAAGCAGUCCCAGUUCGGAUUGUGGGCUGCAACCCGCCCACAUGAAGUCGGAGUUGCUAGUAAUCGCGGAUCAGCAUGCCGCGGUGAAUACGUU
RNAcentral lists this ribosomal RNA (733 nucleotides) under uncultured bacterium. Its description in RNAcentral is "bacterial SSU rRNA". It matches the Rfam family "Bacterial small subunit ribosomal RNA", at positions 640 to 1372 of the family's 1533-position model. The record is from RNAcentral.